CACUGGCCUGAAAGUAGUGAAUUAUCUCAGUUGAUUAUUCACAGUCAGUUACAGAUCAAACUCCUUGUUCUAUUCUUUCCCUCCUUCUCACUACCGCACUUGACUAGUCUUUA
Cercocebus atys (sooty mangabey) is the source of this 113-nucleotide unclassified non-coding RNA. It matches the Rfam family "Y RNA". Rfam says of the family: Y RNAs are components of the Ro ribonucleoprotein particle (Ro RNP), in association with Ro60 and La proteins. The Y RNAs and Ro60 and La proteins are well conserved, but the function of the Ro RNP is not known. In humans the RNA component can be one of four small RNAs -- hY1, hY3, hY4 and hY5. NCBI's taxonomy places the organism in Eukaryota, Metazoa, Chordata, Mammalia, Primates, Cercopithecidae. The record is from Ensembl.